This 253-nucleotide ribosomal RNA is filed under the name uncultured bacterium. RNAcentral's name for it is "partial 16S ribosomal RNA". It matches the Rfam family "Bacterial small subunit ribosomal RNA", at positions 524 to 776 of the family's 1533-position model. The record is from RNAcentral.
UACGAAGGGGGCUAGCGUUGCUCGGAAUUACUGGGCGUAAAGCGCACGUAGGCGGCUUUCUAAGUCGGGGGUGAAAUCCUGGAGCUCAACUCCAGAACUGCCUUCGAUACUGGAGAGCUCGAGUCCGGGAGAGGUGAGUGGAACUGCGAGUGUAGAGGUGAAAUUCGUAGAUAUUCGCAAGAACACCAGUGGCGAAAGCGGCUUCCUGGUCCAGCACCGACGUUCAGGCACGAAAGCGUGGGGAGCAAACAGG